Molecule: small nucleolar RNA, 109 nt
Filed under: Arabidopsis suecica
Lineage: Eukaryota; Viridiplantae; Streptophyta; Magnoliopsida; Brassicales; Brassicaceae
Description: snoR71
Rfam family: Plant small nucleolar RNA R71
About the family: R71 is a member of the C/D box family of snoRNAs containing the C (UGAUGA) and D (CUGA) box motifs.
Source: RNAcentral
AAGCCAUGGUGAGGACAAUCGCGUUCGUAGUCCUUGAAUCGUUUCCAUGCUUCAUAGAAUGAUUCAACAGGUCCUUGUUGGAAUCCUUGUAGCUUGUUUCUUAUAGAAU